This is a long non-coding RNA of Panthera uncia (snow leopard), 434 nucleotides long. RefSeq lists it as uncharacterized. The record is from RefSeq and is a predicted model, not a curated record. Lineage: Eukaryota; Metazoa; Chordata; Mammalia; Carnivora; Felidae. The transcript has 2 exons.
UUUGAAUAAAAUUGCUGUUUUGUGGCACAGACUUGGGAAUGGAUUGCCCUAGAACAUAUAUAUUUUGGUGAUCAAGAGCAAGAUUAAGAGUCGCAGUUCUGCCUGAGUCCACCGUCCCCUGACUGAGCGGUGCCUCCCUUGCAUAUGAAACUCGGAAAGGGCAGAGAGAAAACACCAAAACCACCAAGCCCAGCCAGCCCACACCUCAAGACCACUCAUUUUAGACACAUGGCUGUAUCUUAGCUUACAGUAAACAGCACAACAAGCAAAGGUGAGCUCUGGAUAUGCCAGUGAAAAGUCCCAGUCAGAACAUUUGGUUCUGAGUAGCGGAGAACCUUUGAGCAAUUUCAUUCACAGUUUUGACAGACUGUAUUGUUAUUAUUAUGAACUGUGCCUACCUGACCCUCAAUAAAAAUGAUGUGUUCAAGUCCUAA